GACAGAGGUGCCGAGCGUUAGGCGGAAUCACUGGGCUUAAAGCGUGUGUAGGCGGGUCGGUAAGUGGCUUGUGAAAUCCCACGGCUCAACCGUGGAACCGCUGGGCAUACUGGCGGCCUUGGGCCACCCAGGGGCAACCGGAACAGGCGGUGGAGCGGUGAAAUGCGUAGAUAUCGCCUGGAACGCCGACGGUGAAAACAGGUUGCUGGGGGUGUGCCGACGCUGAGACACGAAAGCCAGGGGAGCGAACGGG
Molecule: ribosomal RNA, 253 nt
Filed under: uncultured bacterium
Lineage: Bacteria
Description: partial 16S ribosomal RNA
Rfam family: Bacterial small subunit ribosomal RNA
Source: RNAcentral